AGACUGUAGGUGUGUUCUGAGUCAUAGAUUUUAUAAAUAGAAUAUCAGCAACAAUUAGAACAAAAACAAGAUGCUGGAAAAUCCAUUAAACACAUUCAUGACUUGUAAUUGCAUCAAAAAUAAAAGAACAAUUUUACUAAAGUCAAAAACAGUAUUUCUGAAUCUCAUAUCAUACUAGGAACAAAAAACUACUUAGCUUCGGGGGGAAGGAAACCAUAAAAAAUUAA
Molecule: non-coding RNA, 227 nt
Organism: Cicer arietinum (chickpea)
Lineage: Eukaryota; Viridiplantae; Streptophyta; Magnoliopsida; Fabales; Fabaceae
Source: RefSeq, a predicted model, not a curated record